UUAGGAAUCUUCCACAAUGGGCGAAAGCCUGAUGGAGCGACGCCGCGUGAGGGAUGAAGGCCUUAGGGUUGUAAACCUCUAAAAGAGGGACGAUAAUGACGGUACCUCUUGAAUAGCACCGGCUAACUCCGUGCCAGCAGCCGCGGUAAUACGGAGGGUGCAAGCGUUAUCCGGAAUCACUGGGCGUAAAGGGCGCGUAGGCGGUCUGUUAAGUCCGAUGUUAAAUCCCGGGGCUCAACCCCGGAUAAGCGUUGGAUACUGGCAGGCUAGACGGUUGGAGAGGCGAGUGGAAUUACCAGUGUAGCGGUGGAAUGCGUAGAUACUGGUAGGAACACUCAUUGCGAAGGCAGCUCGCUGGACAACACGUGACGCUGAGGCGCGAAAGUGUGGGGAGCAAACC
This 400-nucleotide ribosomal RNA is filed under the name uncultured bacterium. RNAcentral describes it as "bacterial SSU rRNA". It matches the Rfam family "Bacterial small subunit ribosomal RNA", at positions 355 to 774 of the family's 1533-position model. The record is from RNAcentral.